RNAcentral lists this long non-coding RNA (24842 nucleotides) under Amborella trichopoda. RNAcentral describes it as "long non-coding RNA (ATRI_LNC000712)". Lineage: Eukaryota; Viridiplantae; Streptophyta; Magnoliopsida; Amborellales; Amborellaceae. The record is from RNAcentral.
CCGUUCUCAGCAUUAUCUGCUCUCUAGGUCUCACUCUCUAAACAGGUUUACCUGGAGCUCUCAUUUUAGUCCUAAAAUCCGUAGUUCUGCAAUCUUUCUCUACAAUACCUAUGUGGGUUUCUUCUGCAACUGUGAGUUCUCUCUUUUUACUUCUCCAACUAACAAUUUCAGUGUUUCCUUUUGCUCUUGCUGGAGUUGCAGUUUCUCUCUCUAACUGCUUGAGUGUUGCUUUAUUAACCUAGCAAUUUUUUAUUAAAAGGAUUGGAACUCUAUGUUUAUUUUCAGGUUGCUUAUUGGUUCUGGGUUUUCUGUGCAGAGAUUUAUAUCUUCUAUUCAGCUUGCCGGUUCCUCUGUUUCAAGCAGAGGCCUUUCGACUAAGACCCUCUCUUGUUAGGGUUUCUUCUGUUAAGCCGUUGAGCCGAGUCUCCAGGAGUUUCAGAGGCAUUGUGGUCAAGGCAGCCACGGUUGUGGCCCCAAAGGUUGCUUCUCACCUCCAUUUUUCCUUUUUAUGUAUAAGGAUCCAAGGCUUUGUGUUUUAGGGUUUAGGAUUUAUCAAUUUAAAAACCAUUUUUGGCUUCCUCCAGCCUCCCCCAUCUUUCAAUUUGUUUUUCUUUACUUAAAGUUGAUUUCCUUAACACUAGCACUCUGGUUAUUUUUAAUAUUUAGUCCUGUACUUUUUAACAUUCACUAGUUGAUUAAUGAAUUGGAUUGAUUUAUGUGUAGCUUGAUAUCAGACUGAUUUGUUUGUGAUCGUUUGUUUGAUUUAGAUGGAUUGGGAAUUUUUUGUAAUUUUUUUCUUUUUUGUUCUCAUUUCAUGGAGUAAUCUGGUUCUAGCUCGGUUCCUAAAGUUUCUAACAUCUAAAAAAUAAAAAUUAUGAUGAAAAUAUGCUAUUCUUUUCUAGGGAGAAGAUGAAUUAUUUGGCUAUAGUGCUGAAUGGAUGGCCGAAACUUGCAAUUUUGGGGCGCUCCCUUCUUCUAUGUUUCCACUCUAUUAACAGUUGUAAUUCUACAUGCCUACCCUUAUAAACAAAUGUUCUCUUGGAAAUUUUGAUCUUUUAACUACAAAUAUUAAGAAUGUUAUAAUUAUUUGAGAAAUAACUAGAAAAAGGAAUGAAACUCUAUUGUGAGAUAUGCAUAUUCAUACUUCUCUAGAUUGGUAUAAAUGCAACCAGUGCCGAAGUGUUUGAGGUUCUGAGUCAGCACAGGCUACAUUAUGCACUAUUGGAUAUAGUUUUCCUUUAAUUAUAAGGAAAAGGAAAUAUGGGUAAUGUUACUGACAACAUUAUAUGGAUGAAUUGAGGACUUUGUUUAUGUGUGCUGUUUGGGUUCUGGUGUCCUCUGUGACAACUAUGCAGAUGUGCACUAGAAAUGAUUGUGUAUUAAGUUAUGAUCUUAGAGUUUUGUUGUAUUCACUGCUAUUGGAUCGAUGAUUGCAAGUGAUGGCAGGCUAUUCAAUGAUCAUUGUUGUUUAGAAUGUUGACUUGUUUAAUAUUUGUUGCCAGCGUAUAUUCACUGUGCAAGAUACUGUUUGAACUUUGAAGCAAUUCUUGUCGAUUUAAACUCUAUUGAAUCUAGAUAUCAAGUGACAUUCAAGUUCUAGAUUUGUAUCAGAAUUGUAAUAGGAUCAGUGCGAAGUUUGAACAUUAUUUUGGAAAUUUGGUUCAAUAAAAUGCAGUGUUAUAUCAUUUGAGGUUAAAUGCAUGCAUUUUAGUCUUUGGAUGUUAUAUUGUCAAAUUUUUCUUUAGAUUAUUUGAUUUGGACGAAACAAGAUAUUUAGAAAAACAAAAAAGUAAAUGAUAAAAUCAACAUUAUGAUUAGAAAUGAUUAAUAUGAAAUGGGAGUGUAUUGAGAGGGUGCCAUCCAAUACAUCUAUAAUAUGCAUGUACUGGGUUAUGGCAAUAUUUUAUGUAAACUAUUGCUGGUUAUAGCUUAUGUAAGUAAGAGAUUUACAUAUGCUGGUCUUUAAAUGGCAUUAAGAGGAUUAUCAUAGCUAGUUAUGUCCUUGAGUUGGACGCAAUAUCUUCCUUAGCUGUUUCCUAAAAAGAAAAAUCAAAUGUCUCUCAUAGGGUGUGAUGUGGCAGAUAGAUGGUGCCUAGAGGGUUGUAUGUUAUUCAUUAAAUUAUUGUCCCUUGUCCAAUGAUGAAACAUGGCAAAAAGCACUUCUCAUAUGAAAGGUUUUAGUUGGAUGGGAAGACAUGCAAUUACAUUUGUAAGGGGCUUGCCAAAUGGCAUGCCAUUUGUAUAAAGUUGCUUUAUGCAUGCGGAAAUCAAUGGAGAGCUGUGAGUGUGGGAUGCCCCACUUAACUAUCUUGGCCCUUGGUUUGAUCAUUUUAUGGUGGAUGCAUUGCUUUCAACUUACGGGUUUUGAGAUCAUAAUUAAACCUUGGGUAAAAUUUGAAUUCUGAUUUGAAUUACGGUUUCUUUAAGGGGAUAAUGAUGCUUUAAUCUCAAUCUUCCAUAUCAUAGCCAAUUGAUGAGUUGAAUGGCCAAGAUCUUGACCGUUCUUACCCCUUGGAUGCCUUUAAUCAAGGGUCCAUGUUUAAUCACUAAGGAACCUUCAAAACACUAGCCUCUAUAUACUAUUUUUCUCCCACUUUUUUAUAACAUACUUGGAAUUUUAAAAAGAGCGAGACCCGCCAAAAGUGGCACGCCAUCCUCCUUUUCUUUACCUUGUGGUCAAAAGCCUUCCUAGAGAGAAGAGAGAGAUUCUUUUGAGUAGUCUAUUGAUACACACCAUUGCUUGAGGCUUAUGCAUGGUAGUCAUGCAUUGAAGUUUCAACUCCAUCCAAGUUUCAUGUUCUUGUUGUAACUUAAUCUCAAGAGCAAGGUAAUUUGCUCGUCUUGAACUCAACUAGUUGGUUUAGCUCAUGCAUUUAUGCCUACCUUGUUUCCCCGCAUGCUUUAGUUACGAUACUCUAUUUUGGCAUAAAUUAACCUAAGUUUCAUUGAGAAAUUUCUAUCCUACAUUUUCGGAUGUUUCUUUAGAGUAUCAUCAAUCUAAAGUGGGUUUUAUCACAUUACGAACCUUAAAUUUUCAAGCAUUCAUUAUACCAAAAUUUUCCCAUAGGUGUGCUUGAGCAUUGUACCACAUCUCUCACUUCAAGCCUAGGCAUGCCACAUAGAUACUCUCACUCUUCUCCGUUGCAGCCCCUCAUUUUGAGCAUCGUAAAUCUGAGUUUUAUUGAGUGUGGUUUUAUGCUCCAUAGUGUUUUUACUUCCCUUUGAUUGAUUAAAUUUAGACCCACGAUCUUGCACUAUUAGUAGUCGGCAUACACAAGGGUGUAAGUAAUAGUCGGUGGUAAACUCAAUGUGUUGAGCCCUUUUAAUGGCUUCCAUGAUAUUAGUUAAAGUGCACACAUUUGGUUCAUGUUUUUAUAAGAGGAGAUUUAGUGUUUGCAUUUUGUAAUUUCACAUUUGUAUUAUUCAAGUGUAUGUCUCAUGAAGCUUAUGUUUAUUUUGCUGUAAUUUUAUGCCAUAAUGAUAUAAUUUGAUAUUAGACUCAAUCUUCAAGUGUUUAGUAGAGUGGAAUUGUCUAAGGACCAACUUCAUGUAAUUUGUAGUGAUUCUAUGUGAGGAAAUGAGUGAUUUGUAUGCACAUAAGGUGUGCUGUAAAUUGUGUAAUUGAGUUGUACUUUGGCAUUGUAUUAUUGAUUUUUUUUGUUUUGUACACCUUGAACUUGUCCUCUAUACUAUCUAUCAAUUGGACAACAAUAUAAAGAUGAACUUCUACUUUGCUCUCAAUUUAAGACCCAACUUCAAUGUGGCUAUUUACGAGCGGAACAAUGUCUUUUAGUGGGCAUGGCUCCCGUCCUUUGAGAGUGCUUUGCAAGAGCAAACUCUUGAACGAGGGUUCUGACAAGACUUAGCAAACCCACCAUCUAAUUCUAAUUGCUUUGACACUGCAAAGCAAAGCCCUCUAGAGUGCAAUGCUUUGAUGUGUGCGUAGCUUCUAAAGUGCAAUGAGCAAGCCACCUAGUGGAGCGAGUUUAAAAGAGCUCAUAUGGCCGGUUCACCACCGAUGAUUGUUUACACUCCUUGUGUACGCCUACUAUCGAUAGCAGAAGAUCGUGGGUCCAAAUUUAAUCAAUUAAAGGGAAGCAACAUAUUGUGGAGCUUAAAAUACAUACAACAUAUUUAUAUGAUGGUGCUCAAAUGUGAGGGGCUGAAGUGAAAAAGGAUGGGAUUAAGUAUGUGGAACGCCUUGGAAUAAAAAGAGAGAUGAAAUCUAAUAUCCAAACAUGCUCAUGAGAUAAUUUUGAUAUAAUGGAAGAUUGGAAAUUUGAAGCUUUAAAGUGGUGGGAAACAUUUCAGCUUGUUUUUUGAAAAUGUGAUGUAGGAGAACUUGAAGAAACAAAGAAAAAUCAGCAAGAAGCAUACAAUUUUGGAGAAACCCCAGGGUUUACUCCCACUUAGCGUUCAAUACGUAGGCUUCUUUUGCAAGACAAAGUCUUUCUUUUAUUAAAGAGGAAUAUAUGAAUGACUCUCCAGCCCAUCGAUGCCCUUAUUUAUAUUGAAAAAUUAUUGUUUGGACAAUAUUUGUCCAUACAAUUUAACUUUUGACCAAAAGGUCCUAACUUAAAUAUAACUUGAAACUAAACUCCCUAACUUUAAUUAAAAUAUCUAAAAAUUCCCUAACUGUUCAAGCAAUGAAAUAAAUAAAUAAAAAUAUUUGAAAUAGCCUCAAAUAGCUAAAAAGAAACACCAAAACUAUUUAUUGCUCUUCUUAUUCUUCUUGGAAGCUCUCCUAGGGUUUUCAUCUUCUAAAUAUGAGUGAAAAUUAGGAAGAAUCUGUCGCUCCCAUAGAAGAUACUCAUGGCUACUUGUGCUCCGAUCUCCAUCAAAAUGUUACUUGUAUAUUAAUUAAAAGAAGUACAAAGAAAGUGAAGGGGUCAUUUUUUUUUUUUGGGGGGGGAGGGGAAGAGAAAUCCAAGCUUUAGACACAAUUGAGGGAGGGCAUUGGUUGGGGCUUGGGGUGUGAGUGAGAGAUGAGUAGAAGGAGGCCACCAAGAAGUUUUCCUAGGGAUUGGGGGUCCAAUUGAGGCUGUCCUAUCCCUGAAGAGGUAGAAAUAAGAAGUCUAGAGCGUUGGAAAGGGUUGAGAAAUCUUGAAAUUCCGCUUCAGAAAGAGGACUUCUCAAGAUGGGGCUCCACACCCUCCUGUUGCCCACCAACUGAAAGUAGAAUGGAGUUCCUUAAGGGGAGGGCAUUGGUUGGGGCUUGAGGUGUGAGUGAGAGAUGAGUAGAAGGAGGUCACCGUGAAGUUUCCUAGGGAUUGGGGGUCCAAAUGAGGCUGUCCUGUGCCUGAAGAAGUAGGAAUAAGGAGUCUAGAGCGUUGUGAAGGGUUGAGAAAUCUUGAAAUUCCACUUCAGAAAGAGGACUUCUCAAGAUGGGGCUCCACACCCUCCUGUUGCCCACCAACUGACAGUAGAAUAGAGUUCCUUAAGGGAAGCAUCUUCAAGCUAAGGGUCAAUCCAGAACAGAGUUUUGUCACCACGCAUGGGCGUAUAUCUGAUCUCAGAUUGAAAAUGGGGGUAAAAAUGCGUGAUAGAUUUUCUGAUUCCAGCAGAGUUACUGUGGACACGCCUUGACGGGACCCAUGAGGGGUCACUACUGCAAUAUUUACGCUUUAUCACCUCCUGCCAUAAGUGAUUACUUCGAGUGGCUAACCACCACCACCAUUUCCCAAGUAAGGCAAGGUUGUUGUCUUUGAGGUUACGUAUGCCCAGCUCCCCCCAAGAGACUUUGGUUUGCACACGUUAGCCCAUGAAAUGAGAUGAAUUUUCCUAUCCGCAUUGCUUGACCACAAAAAAUUUCGUCAUGAGCUCCAAGUGGUGAGCCAUCGAUGCUGGCAUAUGGAAUAACGAUAUCUGAAAGAGAAAAUAAGGACACGUGACGGGGAAGAGAUUUAUUAGGAAAUAGAAAAUAAGGACCCGUGACACAAAAAUAAGGAGGGCGUUGCUAUCGCUUAAUAUAUAAUAGAUAGAUAUGUGAACUCUGCUCUUAGCGGCUGUCACAUCUAUAUAGUUGGCUAGGGUGGUUUGAGUUACAAUGUCACAAGUUAGCUUUCGAUCGUCAAAUCUUGAUCUGAUGGCUCAUAGUAUUAUUAUUUUUAUUCUAUAAAUAAUUUAUAACAAAAUUUGGGACAUGUAUAUAUCUGAUAGGGGUGCACAUGAUACAAAUAGUAAAACAAUAUUUCCUUUUGAUAAGGAGGUCACAAUCAUUGUUAGAUUGUGACACUUUCAUCUAUUGGACACUUUCAUCUAUUGGACACUUUCAUCUAUUGGACACAAAACAAAAUUUCUAUAAAAUUGUGACACUUUCAUCUAUUGGAUUUCACUUUGAAUGGUUAAAAAUAAUGGUGGCCAUCUUGUACAAAAAAAUAAAUAAUCUCAUAGUACUAUCCCAUAAAUAAAUUUAUGAUAUUUUAAAAAUCUUAGCAAUAUUUUGAAAACAUCGGAUUGUACUUUUUUUUCCCCUUCAAUUCGAUGCUGUUAGUAAGCCUAUUUGAUUGCUGAAAUAAAUUAAACUUUUCAAUAAAAUAUGAGGCAUGUGCCUUAGUAACACAAAGCACCGUUUUGAGUUUUUCAACGAUGUGCCUCUAAGAAAGAGUGCUUAAUUAAUGAUAUUUUCGCACCAUUUUAGAGAGAUAAUUGUACGCAAGGGAAAAAAAGAAAAAUAAUGCAAAAAAUUAAAAAUCAAGCAGUAUUUUUGCAUGACAUUGUGAUGAGCAAUCCCACCCGUCCAUUCUCUUUAUAUAUAUGGAGGCCCUAGACCCUCAAACAGAGAAACGCUAACCGCUUUCGCCUCACUGUAAUUUCCAUCUUCUUUGGAGCCUUCCUUCCCUCUGUUCUCUCUCACCCUCUGCGAGCAAGAGGAACCAGUGCGAGCAAGAGCAGCAACCUCUCAAUAACCAGUGCGAGCAAGAGCAGCAACCUCUCAAUAACUCUCAAUCAUCAGUGAGCUCUCAAUCAUCGGUGAGUCCCUCUGUUCUCUCUCACCCUCUGCGAGCAAGAGGAACCAGUGCGAGCAAGAGCAGCAACCUCUCAAUCAUCAGUGAGCUCUCAAUCAUCAGUGAGUCCCUCUGUUCUCUCUCACCCUCUGCGAGCAAGAGGAACCAGUGAGCUCUCAAUCAUCGAUCAUCAGUGAGUCCCUCUGUUCUCUCUCACCCUCUGCGAGCAAGAGGAACCAGUGCGAGCAAGAGCAGCAACCUCUUCCCUCUGUUCUCUCUCACCCUCUGCGAGCAAGAGGAACCAGUGAGCUCUCAAUCAUCAAUCAUCAGUGAGUCCCUCUGUUCUCUCUCACCCUUUGCGAGCAAGAGUAACCAGUGCGAGCAAGAGCAGCAACCUAGCAACCUCUCAAUCAUCAGUGAGUUGUAUGCGGAUUUUCCAUUUGUUUCUGUUUUUUCUUAGUAAUUUAGGUUUUCGGUUCCUUUCAGGGUUUUGUUAGGAAUCCCUGUAAAAAAGAUUUAAGGCUUUCCUUAUUUUUCUCUGUUGUAAAAAAAUUUGGGGCUUUCCUAAUAUUUCUGUGUUGUUAAUCUCCUGGAUUUCUUGUACCAUUUCUGUUCAUACAGAAGUGAACAAGAUACUUUGAUUUAUUUCAUUGAUUCAUGAUAUUUGAUGCCCCAAAUGCAUGUAAAAAAUCUGCAACUUUGAUUCAUAUAUUUAUGUAGUGGUGAUUCGAGUUUACUGAUUCUAGAGAGCUACAAUAGUUCUUUAUUUUGUGGCUGUCAUUUGACAGCCACGAAAUUUGAGUUUACAGUAUGGAACUUUUAUAUGUUGUUAUUGUCCCUCGAUAAAGAUUUUUUUUUCCCCUAUUGUGUUUUGGAUUUCCUCUGUUUAUGUAGUGGUUUUUGGUGAUGUUCUGUACAUAACAAAGCUGAGAAUGUUCCUAUAUAAUCUGAUUUAUUUCCUUGAUUCAUAGUGGAAUGGAUGAAAAUUUUCUUCAAAAUGGAAUUGAUGGUCCUCAUUUCUUUAAAAUGGAAUGGAUGAAAAUUUUAUUUCCCAUUUUCUCUCCUCUGUACUUUUUCUUCCAUUCUUUAACAUUCGAGUACUUCUUUAACAUUCCAGGAGGUUCCAAUUUACAGUUCAUAAACUUACUUCCAGUUAUCAAAUAAAGCCCUUAUAAUUUUUCUCUCUCUUUCUCUCUUCAAACACUAACCCCCAUUUUUCUCUUUUACUCUCUAAAGCCUUAAACCUAUCGAUAAUGUGCCCUCUCUCUUCAAGUCCUAGACUUUUCCAGGUUUGGUUUUUUUGUUUCUCUCUUUUUCCGCCUUCAUUUUCUUCUUGUUAGGUUUAUCAAUUUGGUGGAUAGGUGGACUUCAUAUUUACUGAUAUUUAUCAACAAAUAUGAUAUUACUGAUAUUUAUCUAUAACUAUGGUACCUAUGGAAUUUUCACCAGAAAAAAUUGAUAUUUUCACUAUAUUUUUUGGCUUUAUCGGAACAUUACUGUGAUGAUAAUAUUAUACAACAGGUUUUGUUACUUUUUGAUACAGUAGUCUAGUUUUCCCUGCAUUCUACUAUUACUUAUAGGGAAAAAGAAAUGAAUUUUCUGAUAUUCAGGAGUGUGAGAAAUUGAUUAAUACUGGUAUUUAAUAGAACAAUAUGAAUCUAAUAUUUAUUAAAGCAUAAUUUUAAUGAAUUUACUAAUAUUUGUUAUUAAUAUGGAAAUCUAUUGAUAUUUACUCUUAUUUAUUAGUAAUAAUCCUAUUUAUUAAUAAGCAUCAGUAAAAGUGAUAUUUUUAGUAAUACAGCAACACAGUAAAACAAUAAAAUAUUCUCUUGAAAAUUUAUAUUUGUUUGGAACUAUAUUAUUUACUAAUGUAUGAGUAAAUCAGUAAAGUUGAUACUUAGUAAUAUUGUUAUUCAUUGGUCUUUUAAUAGUAAAUUUGAUGAUAUUAUCCGUAAAUUUUAGUAUUUUUACUGAAAUAUUGUGAAAUAGUCUACUUGGCCAACGUACUCGGCCCUUUGUAGAGCCGAGUUACUCGGGCGAGUCCAAAUAACUUCUUGUAUAGAGUUCGAGUUAAAAAUAUAAAAAAUCAACACAUAAAUUAAUGUAUAUAUAAUAUAUUCUUCGCAUAUAUGCAGUGAUUCAAAAAGCUGAUGUCCUAGAGCCUAGGCGGUCCAGAAGGCCUGAGCGCAUCGCCUAGGCCUAGGCGACCAAUCUGGGCAGCAGUCCCUGGGCGGCUGCCUAGGUGGUACGGAACCUGCCAAGGUGGGCGCCCAACGCCCUGUUCAAGGCGGCCGCCCAGGGACGGAACCCGCCUAAGCGGGCGCCCUGCCCAGAGACGGAAAUUUUUUUUUUCAAAGUUGACAAAAAUUGAUCAAACAUCACCAAUUGAUAUUAGAUUUAAUUUUUGAUGUUUUAUAGAUCUAUUGGGGGGUUUUUUAGAAGAUUUUGAGUCCUUAGAAGCAUCUUUGAUUGGGCAUCCUUUUUGGAUUCGACUGGGCUGCCUAAGUUUUGGGCGCCUGCCUAGGUGUUGGGCGGCUGCCUAGGUGUUGGGCGGCUUGGACCCCUCAGGCCGCCUAGGACCCGCCUAGCGCUUUUUGAAACACUGCAUAUAUGACAUGAAGCCUUAAAUGACGUGCUGGAUAGGUUCGUCGCUCUUAAGGGUGCUUAUAUGUUAUAUGCCUUAGGUUUGACUCCUCAUUUUCAUCUCAUGCCUUCUUUAUGAUAAAAAAGAAAGAAAGUAGUGUAACAUAGAUAUAUAACUAGCCUUCCACUUUUAUUGAUAAAAUUAUUGUUGAUGUGUUGGGUGGCGCAUGCGCUCUUAAAUACUCUUUAUAAUAGGUCUUGGGUUCAAAUUCUCUUCUCAAACCUUUUUUUUAAUACUUGUUUUCUCUUAAAGAAAAAAAAAACUAAGGCAUUGAUAGUAGAGGGAUCCGAACCCUCACCAUAAUGGGCAACAAGCAUGCACACUACCCAGCACACUACUUGAGUGUUCUGUCUUCAAGUUGGCACAUUAUUAUAUGUAAACAUUAAGAUGUGUGUCUAGUGUGAUUGAGUUACUCGUCCGAGUCUGAGUAGACCCUUCUGAGUCUCGAAACACUGUUGUGAAAAAAAGACUAAUAUUAUUUGUGCUUAUGCUAAUUUUUUGCUAAUAUUUAUCAAGAAAUAUCAAUAAAUUCACUGAUAGUUUUUUAUUGCCAUUUGUUAGUAACAUUACUCAUAAAUCGCUUAUUAUGAGAUUUAUGGAUAUGUAAUUUAUACAGUGGGAGGUGCUGAUCAGUUCCCUUUGCCUUUCGUGUGUGUUUAUGUAAUACAUAUUUAGUUAAUGCAUAAAAUUGGCUUGUGUUUGUUUGGAUGUUUCAAUGUUGCUUUUUGGUUUGGUUUGACUUCCUUUGAGAUAAUUUGCUUUGGAUACAAGGAAGUCACAGUUAUUAUAAAAGUUGGAUGUGAAAUCGGGUUGUUGAGGAUGUGUGGUUUGAUUAGACACAAAGUUCUCAAGUAUUGUUAUACACUUCAAUAUAUUGAGUUUUACAUCCAAUGAAUAAAAAUGAUUGCGACCUCCUUGUACCUAAAGUGAGUAUUCUUAGUAUACAACAUCAUUACCUUAUUAUUAAACUUUGCUUUAGUUUACUCUUCUAUUAUUUUUGGUACUUAUUAUCUUUCCCUUUAUUUAUUUACUUGCAGUUGGACCAUAUUGUGGUUGAGUUGGACCAUAUUGUGGUUGGCAGCAUAAUAGUUGAUAAAGACAAGUGUGAUGGAUGGAUGGUGUUGGAGAGAUGUGUGGCCAUUCAAGACAUGCAAGGAUCCAGAGGUAGGUUUCCCUCACGUUCCAAUGUUGUCCAUCCAUCAAAUCAGUGGUGUUAGGCUGGUCUCUACUAAGGGUGGCAAUGGCCCGGUUGGCCUGGCCCAGCCCAACACAUACUUUUUUCAUAUUUAUUUGUUAUUAUUAGUUUUUUACUUUGUUAGCUUUUAAUUUUAUCUUAUGUAGCUCGGCCAAAUUUGGCCAGGGCCAGCCCUCAGGGGAGUAAUGCCGGGCUAGGGCCAGGGUUGACCCGACCUGCUGCCAGCCCUUGUCUCUACCUUGUUAGGUACAUUUGGAUCUACUUUAUCAUUCCUCUAAGACUAAUAUAUGUUUUUUAUAUUAUGAAAUGGAACCUUAAUAUAAGGUUGUAGUAUUUAUAGUUCAAAUUAUAUUUACUUGUAUUAAUUAUAUACUUGAUUUGUAGGGUUUACACUACGGCAUUAGCGGUAUCGGAAAAUAGGUAUGUUGUAAAUACUCUCAAUCAGUACAUAUUUGACAAUGUUUUUGUUAACAUGAAAAUAUUAUCUCGUCACUCAAUUGUAUAAUAUUAUAUUAUAAAGAUGUGUAAAAUAUAAACUUAAUUCAGAAAAAUAUAUAUAGAACUCUAGAAAAAUUGAUUGGAAGAUAUGUGGAUAUAGAAAAAUCAGUAGAGAUUGAUUGAUUUAGGAGAUAUGAGAGUGACUCGCUUAUGAAAAGUUUGUAAUGAUGCCAAAUAGUUUUUACUAAGAAGGAGCAACUCUCAAAUACCAAGAAUAGACGUAGGGUCUUAUAUAUGCUUUGAGAGGAAAGUGCUGGCAUUGACAAAUUUUUUAAUAGUCUAAAGUAGAUCAGUACAUGUCUUUACUUUAAAAUUCAUUGGCACCUAAUCUGAUUUUUGAUAUUCUUUAGUAUAUAAAAUUCACUGGCAUUGACAAAUUUUUUUUCUUUUUUGAUAGGAGUUGACUUAGCUUAAAAUUUAAAAGAAGUUACAUGAAGUUACACUGUCAAAGUUGGGUCCACCACUCGUGGACUGCAGUUGUGUCAUAGUCCCUGAGAGGAGGACCAGACAAUACAAACUCAAACACACUGAAAAGCUGAAAAGGCUUAUAGAUAUGCCCAGUUACAAAAGCGGAAAAGAAGAGAGCAUGGUAGGGGCUUAUGGAAUUGGCCCUUUACAAUAACUGUUACACAAGGGGAAGAAGGAAAGCACUCAGACCAACUGUAUGUAGUUAGGUGUGUUGCCGGGGCAGCUUCUUUAGCGAGUGCGUCUACGGUCUCGUUUGCGGUCCUUCGGGUGUGCUUCCAAGUGACUUCCAGGUCCCUGUGUAAGUGAUGAAUCUCAUAAAAAAUAUUGAUCAGAUACCAAGGUGGAUGACUUAACCCAGAACCCCACUUGAUAAUAUUUUUGGCAUCUCCUUUGAUUUGUAGUAUUCUUCCCCAAGAAUGCUUAAAGUUCUUGAUUCCAAAUAGUCGGGCUUUGGCUUCUGCUGUUUGCGAGUCCUGAAUACCUAUGUGUUUAGAAUAGGUGAGAAGGACUUGUCCUUUGAAAUUCCUAUACACCCCCCCAUACUCCUGCCGGACCAGGGUUUCCUAGGAGCUACCAUCGAAAUUGAGCUUUUCUUGAUCCUCUGGAGGAGGGUUCCAUCGAGGGGUACUUCGGCUCUGACGAUGACUAAGAUUAAUAGGAUUUUCUCAAUCUUUGCAUAAAGGAAGAGGCGGAAGUACCCACGAAUAAUUUGUGGUGGGAGGCCCAGAAAAUAACUGAGGAUGUUAUUUUUUGGAAUGUGGAUUGGGCGUAUUCAUAAUUCUUCGAAAGAUCUUGGAAUUUCUUUCCCCCCAUAUGUGCUAGAGGGUAGCUGCUACUGAAGCUUUCCACAACUUCCUAAAACUGUCCUCAAAGGACUGUGUUAACAGAGCCUGGGUUGAAUGUGGGAGAGCCCGCGAGAGUCUAAAUAACUGAAUAGUUAGACUCCAAAUAGAAUAUGCGAAGUCGCAAUGUAAUAACAUGUGUUACUGUUUCCUCUUCAUUAAAGCACAUAAUACAUCUGUUAGGAAAUUGGAAUCCUUUUUUUUGAAGGUUGUCUAAGGUUAGUGGCUUCCCUUGAAGCGCUAACCAUUGGAAAAGUUUAGUCUUUGGUGGGGCUAUAGAAUUUGACGCUCUAUUUGAUGGGCUGGCGAAGUCUGUCCCCUCUACCAAGACUCUGUAGAAAGAAGCAACUGUGAACCUUCUUGAGCGUGAUGGGGACCAAAUGAUGGAAUCCAUCCUUGACUGUGGUAAGAAGACUCCAUGCAAUUCAGAACUUAAAGUUGCAAAUUGAAGGAGUUCUUCCUCUGCCAAAGGCCUUCUAAGAGAUGGGUUCCACGUUCUAUUGUGGCCGGAUAAAGUCAUUUCAUCAUCUAUCAUUGAGUCUUUGUGGUUGGAGAUGGCAAAAGAGUAGGGGGAAUCUUUCUUUUAGUGGUGCAAAGCCUAUCCACAAAUCCUCCCAAAAUCGCACUUUGUUCCCUCCUCUUUCAUGAAAGCGGGUAUUGGUUUUGAACCGAGGAAGGAUAGAAAUCAGGGUCUUCCAGAUACCUGAUCCUGUGGAGUAGGAGUCAGUCUCUGGCAGCCACAUUCGUCAGUUAUCAUUCACCACUCAUCAUGAGAAAAAGUAGGGUUAGCUGCAUUUGUAUCAUAUGCAUCGGAAUCCAAUCCAUCAUAAUCGGAAUUAUCCCCCUUCUUGACAUAAUGGUCGUCCUCCUCUGUCUCUUCUGAAUCUACCUCUGCUUCCUCCUUUUCCUCCACCCUCGUCCUCUGAGAAGAAGAUCUAGUGGUCCUAUGAGGGUCGGCUGAGGUACUUGAGGCCUCCAUGACCAUAUCCCAUGUUAAUCCUUCAUGUCCCUUGACUUGAUCAUCAUCAACCUACCAUUUUAUAGCGUUGUCCAUAUUUUUUGAUAUGAGGGAGUUUUUGGUUUCUCUCUUGGCAAACUUGUCCCCUUCAAGUAUCGAUUGUACUUGACAUAAACUAGAUCAUUGAGCCUCUUUGAUUCAAGCAUGUUCUUUUUCUUAGUAUGAAUCUAACAAAAUCAAAUGAAAUUAAUUAAUAUAAAUAACUAAAUACAUAAUAGUAAUACAUGACAUAGACUAUUAAAGUAUUGAUUUAUUCAUAUUGUAAUAUAAAUUAUCAUCUCAAAAGUACUCCAAUUUCGCUCACAGCUGGAUGAGGCAGUGGUUAGGCUUAAGAUCCUAAUGACCAACUUUUGUAAAUUUGGAGUACUACACACAUGUUGGCUCCAGCAAUUGGCUGCAAAAAUGCAAAUUGAUUUUGAAUUACAAAUUUACAAUUGUUAAUUAUAUAUGAAAUAUUAAGAGUUAAGACAUAGAAUAGUAGAAUUAUCGAUUAUGGAAAACAAACUUCAAAUGUCACUAAAUGAAAUUUGAACUUGAGGAACUUAAGAAUAUUGUUACCUGAAUCAAUUUUGGUCCUUUGCCUCGUCGCCAUUGUUACCUGAAUACGCACUCGUAACUUAUCAACUCAUCAGCGCAUAUAACAUCCUGGAUAUCUGGAUUAAGGACCUAAUCUACACACUUAUUAAAUCUAGUCAUAAUUGUAUCAUUUGUGUGUAUAUCUCUAUCAGCAUAAAAAAAACUGGGUUAAAAAAAUAACCAGCUGCAUGUAAUGGCCGAUGUAGCUGCCUAUCCCACUUCUCAUCAAUAAUCUCCCAAAUAGGCUGAUUGCGGCACACAUCAUCAUCUAAAUUUUGGGCUCUCUCUUGCAUCUAUCCAUAGCCUCAUAUAUGUAGCCCAUAGAAGCUUUGUCACCAUCAACCAUGCGAGGGACUUUGACAAGAGGAAAAAAUACCUUAAGAGCGCCUUUCACCCCUUGCCAAAAAUCUCUCAACUUCUUCCCAACCGGAUAUUUGGACCAUCUCCAUGCUCUCCAACUCAUCUGAGGUGAACAUCUGCCUCAACUGGACUCUCCUCAAAUGUAUGCUAUCUAGGUAUAAGUACCAGGUUGUAAAUCUUGUGACCUCAUGUCUCACAAUCUCUUUCUUCUUUGUAAAUUUAUGUAUCAUGCUGAGGGUAACUGUGGCUGUAAAUGGAAUUCGUAACUGACUUUGCCUUCUUCACUUCACCUGAAAUUAUGCCCAAACCACCAAGAGCCUCAAGCAUGAGGUCUAUACAAUGUGCUGCGCAUGGUGUCCAAAAGAUUCUAGACUAAGCUAUGUGCAACAAAUUAGCAGCAGCAACAUUAAGAGCAGCAUUAUCUGUGACAACCUGUAUAGCAUGCUAUUCCCCAACCUCCUUGACUCAUUCUCCAUAAUUUGGAAUAUGUAAUGGGCAUCAUGGCUAUAAUCAGAGGCAUCAAUAUACCUAAAAAACAGUCCUUAAAGGACAAUUCACAAGCAAAUUCAUCUGGUUUCUUCUCUUCCUGUCACUCCAAGUAUCGGUCAUAAGAGAGACUUCAUAUUGAGCCCAGGCAUCCUUCUGAACAUCAACAAUCUCCUUUGUGAUACUCACUUCUUUUUUACAAAAAGACUCUGAAAACCCAUAUGGGUUGGGGGUUUCAUCCUAGGCCCAAAUUGGCCAAUUGCUUUUACCAAGGCAUAGAAGCUGCUUAGACGAGCAGUAUUGAAGGGAAUCCUUGCCUCAUAAAAUCAUCUAGUAAUAUAUUGUGCAACUCUAUCUUCUCUUCCUUCUUGAGUCUAUUUUCAAUAGUGGUUUGCUUCUUUGUUUUCUCUCUUGCAACCUUAAGGUCAGGCCGGGGCAAAAAAAAUUCAUAAACCCUCUAACCCUCGGCCUCUUAGGCCCCUCACUCCCAGAAGCAACUACAACUCCCUAUCCCUUCCCCUUAACCUGGGAUUGUUCUAGCUCCUGACACCCCUCCUCAUCCUCAUCACUAUCAUCAUCAUCAUAAUUGACCCGAACAGUAGACUUCAUAUCAGAUAUGGAUGCCUGUCUCUAUCUUUUUUCACAUUUACAUGACUCAAAUUUUUUUUAUCACCUCUUUAAUAGCAUUAUGAGUUCUUUUACAUAGGGCAACUUUCUCCUGAUACUGGCAGGAUGUUUCUUGAACCAUUUAUACCCCUUUUGUAUUCUUUUCACAAAAAUUGCAUCUUAUGCAAUUUUUAUCCAAAGGAUCCAGGUUGUAGCCAUAUUUCCAACUUGGGUUACCACUUCGAUUUGAUCUCGAAGAAGACAUCUCAAAAUAAUACAAGCAAUCUAUAAAAUAAAAAUUUUCACUAAUUUUGAUUGCUCGAUGUUCAAGCUUCCAUUUCUAAGAUAUUUUCUAAGGUUAAAAUCUUUUAAAAAACCCUCUAAUAGACUUAUAAAACUUCUAAAACUAAAUUUAAUAUCAUUGGAUGAUGCUUUGUUCGAUUUCUCGUAACUUUGAGAAACCCUUCGAUCCUAUGGGACUUAAUUACAAUUUCUUAAGAAACAAGUUAGAUUUUACGGUUGUUUUCUAUUGGAUUAGAAAAAAGGUUGGAGCAAAGAAGAAGCAUUUACUUUGGACCAUGUAAAGAGAUCUUUAGGGGUAGACUCUCUUGCAGACAUUAAAAGAAUAUACUCUCUUGCUCUUUAUAAGGACGUUAUGGGUUUUUUAAAAAAAAAUUAUUUUUCAUUAGGUUACUCUUCUUCUAAUUCUUCUUAUUAUUUUAUGAUAUACAAUUGUUUUAAUUACUUUUUUUGGAAAAUAUAUUGCUUGUAUUUUUUCGUACUCUUUUUUUAAGGGAACUCAUUUGUAAAAUUUUUGAUGGAUUUUUUGUUAAAUCAAGAUUCUUAAUUUAAUCUCACUAUUAAUGUACCUUUAAACUAAAAUUCAACAAUAUUGAGUUAAUGAAUAAAUAAAUUAAAGGAAGAAGUUUUUUUGAAAAAAGAAAAAAUACGGAUUUAUAUUGUCUCUAUUAAAAAAACGGGAUUUUUUGAAUAUCUUUUGAAAAAAUCGGAGUUUUAAAUCGGAGAUUUUUUUAAAAAAUAGUAAACAAAGACUUCCUAACUAUAAUUCAGCUUGCAAAUAUUAGGUCAUGUGACUUGUGGCCGAGAUUUAUAAACAAGAAGAGUGCAGCAUGCAAGUAGUUAUGUGAUUGCAAGUGGUGGAGAGAGAAGUGUAAUAUUGAGAAACGGGGUUAAAUUCGUAAAAAAAUUGAUAGCAUUGUACAAAAGCACAGCUGUCGGAAAGGACGGAAGAGUUAAAGCGUUAGAAGUGUUUAAGAGUUAAAGUGUUUUGUGUAAAGGCGAACGAGGAAAUUAUAGUCUAAGUAGAUAAACCCUUAAACCCAAAGAGAGAGAGAGAGAGAGAGAGAGAGAGAGAGAGAGAGAGAGAGAGAGAGAGAGAGAAGACGAGAGUAGUAAGUAAGUAAGUAAGUAAGUAAGUAGUAGUAGUAGUAGUAGUAGUAGUAGGUAGGUACGGUACGGUAGGUUAGGUUAAGGUUAAGGUNNNNNNNNNNNNNNNNNNNNAGAGAGAGAGAGAGGACUGACACGAUGAUUAAGGAAAGGUCAAAUGGAUAUAAGGCUUGGCUAAUGAGAGGGUGACACGUGGUUUGUUAAAGAAGGGUUACAUGGAUUUAAGGCUUGGCUAAUGAAUGGGCGACACCUUGUCUGUGAGGAAUAUAAGGAGAAAAAAUGAAGAAAACAAGGAGAGAGAGAGAAAAGGGGAGAAGGAUAGGGAGAAAUGUCUUGCUUAAUGUGAUUGGGUGACUUGCACCUUUGGCUUUUUUUUUCUAGUGUUGUGUUGCCCCACCUGAAAAGCUCGCCGUUUUAGAUAGACAUCAUUUUUGGUGCUGUGAUUCUGCUUAUGAGAAGCUAAGGUGGCAGCCAAGAGAGAGUGAGGACCAUACCACGCUUGGUUUCUUUUCUGGUGCUAUGUUGCCCCAUCAGGACCACUCGCAUUUUAGAGAGAGAAACACCGUUUUUUGGUGUUGUGAUUCUGCUUAUGAGAAGCUAAGGUGGCAGCCAAGAGAGUGUGAGAUACCAAGGUAUGCUCCUCACUCCCCCCUCUCUCUCCUAAAACUUGCUGGACUCAUUGAUAACUUUGAGUAUCAUAUAUAGUGGAGUACCAGUCUACGCCAUGUGUUGAAACUUUGUAUCUCUUCAACUUAUACCAGUGUAUUGCUUGUUCGGAAAAUAAACUUGUAAACAUUUUAUAUCAUUACCAUUAUGUUCUAGUCUGUAAUAAUUUUUCAACUUUUUGUAUAUUUGAUAGUUUCAAUGAAGAACAUUCUUGUCAGUCCUUAGAAUCUUUGAGGCUGGCUCAGUAAGGUGGCUCUGCAACUGCCACUACCAAGUUAUAAAUCAUUCAUUUUUGCUGACAGUUGGCCUACUGUUGUAGUUAUUUCUCGUCGCAUCCUGGCUCAGUAACGUGGCUCUGCAGCUGCCACUACCAAGUUAUAAAUCAUUCAUUUUUGCUGAUAGUUGGCCUACUGUUGUAGUUAUUUCUCGUCGCAUCCUGAUGUCAAUCGCAGGCAAACAAAAAUACAAAAAAUAAAAUAAAAACUGGCAACAACAAAACUCGCCUCGCCAUAAAUCGGCUGAGUCCACAGCUGAGUCCAUAUACACAUGUCCAUGACUUUGGGCAUCACUGCUUGUCUUGGUAUGGAUCAUUUUUUCUGGACUUCGAAAAGUAUAGCUAAUCAUGGCAAAAAAUCACUUGCAACUACGGUUGUAGGCAUCUUGACUUUUGCAUCUGAUCAUUUUCUUUUGGAAUUUGAUUGGGCUUUCGUUAUUUCUUCAAAAUGGUUUCUUUCACUUUUGUAGCUAAUCAUUUUCUUUUGGAUUUUGAUGGGGCUUUCCUUAUUUGUCCCAAAUGGUUUCUUAUAUUUUGGACUACUUGCAUGUCGUAAAAUUUUUGCUACUUCUUUUCAUUUCAUUUUGAUAAUUGCAAUCUUUUAAUUAUGUGAUUUUAUAUGCUUUUUAUUUCCAUAUUUUAUUGAUUAAUUUUAUGAUGGCUCUGCAUUCCUUCUCCUGGUGAUGAUUUUUAUGGUCUUAACAAUGCUUUCUUUAGUUCUCUGCAUUAACUUUUCUUAACUUUGUGGCAGUUCUUAUUACUCGGGCACUCUCUCGGAUUGAUGAUGGUGAAUAUGUUCUUUUUGCAAUAUUGAUUUUCUUUUAAGGAAUGAAGAAACUGCCACUACCAAUAUUGUUGCUUGUGACGACCCAAAAUUUUUGAAACGGAAAAAUAAUAUUAAUAGUGUUAACAGAAAUAAAUACAAAAUAAAUAAAUAAAAUAAUGAUUAUAUAUUAGUAAUGAUAAUAAUAAUAGUAAUAAUUUUAUACCGUUAAGAUAUUGCUAAUUUUAUAUUAACAAUAAAUAAAACGAUAUUAUUGUUAAUAUACUUGAGUCAAUUUUAUUGGACCUUAGGUCCACCAUCAUAAAACUUUAUGUUAAUACAACCUUUUUGUUUUUAACGUGGCGGCUUUACAUUCCUCUUAUCUCGUUUGUAAAACACCUUGCAUAUGAGUGUUUCUAUUUUAUUCGAAACUCUUUGUCUCGAGCUGUUUACUGUUUAUGUUUAGUAAAGAACAUAUUUCUUUCUCUCUCUACUCGUAGAGUUUACUAUUUAGUAACGGGAAAAGGGGAAAUGACGAAGGGGAAGAAGAGAAAGAAAGAGAUUUCAAAGGAUGCCUGCUUCCUCUGCAAAGAUGGUGGGGUGCUCUUAGUUUGCGAUUACUCGGCUUGUCUCAAAGGGAACCACACUAAUUGUGUUCGAAAAUCGUCGGAUUUUUGGAGGGGAACAAACAGUGUCAUUGUGGCUGGCAUUUACUUAGGUAAGAGAAGUUUGAGUUUCCAAUGUUUUGCUGCCCCUUCUUUGUAUAUGAUGGCUGUUUGAACAAGGCAAACUUUGUGCCUAUAAAAGAAAAAGAGGGUUUUGUGAUUACUGUCUAAAGCUUGCUCUUAUGAUAGAAGAAAUCUUAGAUGCUGACUCAUAGGGCAAAGUGGAUUGCAAUGACACAGAAAAUUACGAGUAUUUAUUCAAGGAUUAUUGAGUUUUGUUGUCGUUGAUCCAAAUGCCUUACUGAAUGGAUUGUAGAAUAUAAAAAUGAACGAAGAGAGGGAUCAUUAACCAUGAUAACAUAGUAGUGGCUUGAAGAGUCAUCUUUGAGAGAAGCACAACCAUUAGAAUGUUCAAGCUUGGGGUCUUCGAAGAAUACUUUGAGUUCAAUAAACGUUGAUGUUGGUGGAAAAUAUUUAUAUGAGAAUCUGCUUCAAGAGUUUGUGCAAACAAAGGGUCUGGAUAUGCCUAUUUAUUUUUGUGUUACAAAGAUUGUAGACCAUACCCCUCGUUUUAAGGCUACAGUCACAGUUGAUGGCCAUACAUCUGAUAGUUCCUUAUCUAUCAGCAGAAUGUGUUAAAGUUUCAUGUAUACGAAGUGUAAAGAAUAAGGUGACUCUGCACUCAAGAUUGAUGGCUUGGACAUAGAUUAUGGGAAUCAAGUUCUCUGUGAAGCUUGGGAAUCUGAGUAUCUAUGCUUUAAUCAAGCAAACACGAAAUCGACAACUAUAAGUUUUAUGUGUAAGUGACAUCAUCUUUUUGAAAAAUAGUCUGUUUUUAAUAAAUAGUGAUAUUUUCGUUCAGGAUCUUUAUUUUAUAAGUUUUGUGUGUAAGUGACUUCAUUGUCUUGAAAAAUAAUCCAUUUUUUUAUAGUAAAAUUGUGAUAUUUUAUCUAUUGUUAGGUAUUUUAAACCCUGUAACUUCUUAGAAAUAAAUUUAAUUUUCCUGUCUAUUGUUCAGAAUUUUAAAUAUUGUAAAUUAUUAGAAGUAAAUGUGAUAUUUCCGCGAUAAUUGAGUAUAAGUGGACCUGCAGUGGUCGUUAGGACCUAUCCGGUUAUGUCGGUAGGGACUAUUUGGACUCAUCCGGAACGUCGGUGAGGUAUGAUCGGACCUGCAGGGAUUGUUAGGACCUAUCCGGUUAUAUCGGUAGGGAGUAUUUGGAUUCAUCCGGGACGCCGGUGAGGUACGUUUGGACCUGUAGGGAUUGUUUAGACCUACCGGUAGGGGUUAUUUGGACUCAUCCGGUACGCCGGUGAGGUAUGUUUGGACCUGCAGGGAUUGUUUGGACCCAUCAGGACGCUGGUGGGGUAUAUAGGUGACCUACUUGGGUAUUUUGUGAAAUCCUUUGAAUUAUGCAUCUCUGUUAAAAUGUUUGUAUGCAUUUCAAUUAUUUGGAUUAUGUUUAAUUGUGGAUUUGUGAAAGUGCAAUUGUUAACUAUAACUGCUUUUGCUCGAAAUUCUUCCUCAGGUUGUUUUUUUAACAUGCAUUCUUCAGAAAAUGUUUAUAUCUUUCAACCAUGAUUAUUUUUAGGACCAUGAUGAUCACUUACUGAGUAGCCAAGGUAAAUAUUUUUCAGGGUAAUUGCAGUCUCAUAAUUCGAAUACAGCAGGACCAUCUUUGAAGAAUGUGUAGGCAUGAUUGACAUUCCCCUUGUAACUUUUGAUCAAAGGCACUGAUGUAAUGUUUGUUCUAUCAAGAUAUGUUUAUCUAGUCUUCAUGUUGAUAUCGGUUGUGGGCAGAAUUUGUACAUAUUAAAAUUACACUAUUUGAUGCAAUUCGAAUAUACUAGUAGAAAUUUUAAAUUUGUUAUAUAUAUAGAUAGUAUAAGAAUAGUCUGUCGCACCUCAGGAAUAUUAGUAAACUUGGGGUGUGACAUUGCUCAUCUUACUAAAACAUUAUAGUAAAAUUUCAUUGUGGAUAGUAUAGUUAGGGAGCUAAUCUUUAGAAGACAACCACAUGAAUUGAUUAAUUUAUGGUUUUAUCUUUUAUUUUUUUGUUUUUUGUUUUUUUUUUGCAGGUAUGUGAUGAGAACAUAGGGCACAAUAGAGCACAAAACAAUAUUUCAUUCUAAAAGCAUAGUAAAUGGAGAAGGAGAAGGGGAUGAUGACAUCACUUGCACAGGAAACCUUGGUAAAAGCGAUGUAGUACUUAUGAGAUCAUGAGAUGGAAGAAUGUCAGAAAAUCCAAGAAUUAAAACGUUUUUGUAUUUUUACAACGAACGGAUAUCAAACUCGAACACUAAUUGGUUUAAUGAGGUUAGAUCUCAUUAGAAAUCGUGUCUUGUUUUCUUUUAUUGUAAUUCUUUGUAACGAUAUCAACAUGAGUCUUGGCGAAGAUAAUACCACUGGUUCAAAGUAUUACAGGUAUAAUACAUAUUUGGACAUACUUUUUUUAUAUAUUAUUAUUUUUUAAAAUUUUUAUGAAAAUUACGGCUAGGGUAUAAUUCUACUUCUUUUCUAUAUUUUCCUGACCAUUGAGAAGCUACUAAAUGAUGAUCCAAAGUGUUUUUGCCUAUUAGAGAUCUUCUAGAUAUCAUGAAUAAUCUUGAGAUCAACAAUAGGUAUGUAUAAUAUUUCUCUUUUUGUGUAGUGGAGCUGUUAUGGUCCUUUCUAUUUUUAUUUAGCUUUUGAUAAAUAAAAUAUGGAUCUAACAUGUGUUUUUGCAUACUUGUCUUUCAGGUCAAGCCUCUCGGAUAUAUUAGAUUAUCCAUUCUUUUGGGACACAAGUAAAGUGUGUAUUUCCUUGUAGACGCCUUAUCACAUGAUCCAAAGAAUGGAUUUGAGGUUGAAUCAGAUUAUUUCAAAUUUGAAUAGCUUGGAAUGCAUUUGAGGUUGAAUUCUCUCGGGACACAAGUAGAGUGUGUAUUUCCUUGUAGACGUGUGAUUUCCUUGUAGACAUCUUAUCACACGAUCCAAGGAAUGGAUUUGAAAGAAUGGAUUUGAGGUUGAAGAAUCUGAUUAUUUCAAAUUUGAAUCGCCGGGAUUGGAUAAUCUGAUUUUCAAAUUUGAAUAGCUUCGUGUGAUUUCCUUAUAGACAUCUUAUCACACGAUCCAUCUUAUCACACGAUCCAAGGAAUGGAUUUGAGGUUGAAGAAUCUGAUUAUUUCAAAUUUGAAUCGCUUGGAAUGAAUUUGAGGUUGAAGAAUCUGAUUAUUUCAAAUUUGAAUAUCUUGGAAUGGAUUUGAGGUUGAAGAAUCAGAUUAUUUCAAAUUUGAAUAGCUUGCGUCCUAUUGUGAUAAAAAGUGGUGCUGGUCGCAAUGUAUGUCUUACUUAAGGAAAUUUGAAUAGCUUGCAUCCUAUUUUGAUAAAAAGUGGUGCGGGUCGAAAAAUCUUACCUGAGGAUGGAUUUGAGGUUGAAGAAUCAGAUUAUUUCAAAUUUGAAUAGCCUGCCUGCUAUUGUGAUAACGAAAUGUCUUACCCGAGGAUGGAUUUGAGGUUGAAGAAUCAGAUUAUUCUAAAUUUGAAUAGCUUGCCUGCUACUGUGAUAACGAAAUGUCUUACCUGAGGAUGGAUUUGAGGUUGAAGAAUCAGAUCUAUUGUGAUAACGAAAUGUUUUACCCGAGGAUGAAUUUGAGGUUGAAGAAUCAGAUUAUUUCAAAUUUGAAUAGCUUGCGUCCUAUUGAUAAAAAGUGGUGCUGGUCGAAACGUCUUACCCGAGGACUAUGGAAUAUUAUUAUCAACAGGUUCACUUGGGAAAAUGAUACAAUCGUAGUUUAUUUCAUUUUUUGCAAUUCAUUUGAAAUAUAGUGUGCCACUUCAAUGAAAAUAAUGGUUAAUAAUGGUUUGUGCAAGGUAUAAUUCAUUUGCUUCAUUUCUAUGAAAAUGAAAAGUAGUUCCAUGACAUAUCUUAUGUUUCAAAUGAAUAGCUGACCUUAAAUAAUUGGGAUAGGUCUUGGAUGAUGAUGACAUUCCAAAUGAAUGUUGCAGUCGCAUAUUGGUGAUUUUGCCACUCUCCAUGAUUUCCAAAGUUGCCUGUGGCGAUCCACAGGCUUGCCAAGUCCGAACUUGGCAAACAAAGGUUGCAAAGCUAUUUUCAACCAUGCACUGCGUAAUCAAAGUCGCUUGGUAUCACAAUUUUCUCAGUGGCUGACAGUUUGGCCAAGGAGGGAGCUUCAUCUACCUCAUUUAUUGUUGUCCCACAUUUCCCUAGUUCCUUUCACUUCGUUUCCUUUUGCUGCAUAGCAUUUUUGGGCUCUUAAAGGUUUUUGUAAAGCUUAACCACUCUUGUGGUUGCAUACCAUUGUUGUCCUUGUUAUAUCAAUAUACAGUCAGCUUCAUCAAAAAAAGAAAAGAAAUGAAACUCUCUUGGUCAACUCUCUGGUUGGACUUGUAAUGGAGGCAAUCCUUUUGGACAGAAUUUGAGAGAAGUCACAUGCUCUGGUUCUUCAGUUACAAAACUAUAACAUAUCUCUCCAAUGUUUCUUGUCACAUAAAUUUCUCUCCAUUGUUUUACAAGAUUUUCUACUCUUUCUCCGUGGUAAGCUUGACUACAGUCAUCUCUAAUAUAUUUGCCUUUAAUGCAUUUUCUGAGCAGAAAAUUAUCAGGUCUUGGACUGUCUGGUUCAUUGGGCUAUUAGCUUACUAGUCUGACUUCUCUAUGUGGGUGUGUGCACUUGUGUGCGUGUGGGAGAGAGAGAGAGAGAGAGAGAGAGAGCGCACUCUGAAAUUGAGAUAUUCAUGUGUAAUUUUAUGUAGGUUUUGAUAUGAAAUAAUGUUUUAUUAAACUCUAUAGUGAUGUGAGCAAUAAUAAUCUUAGAAACAACAUACCAUACUACCUUUUCUGCAGCCAUUUGGAUUUGGCACCUAUAAUCUGAAGAGGGAAUAUGAAUUUGCAGAAAUUUAGCGGGAAAUUCUUCUACAGGGAAUACCCCUUAUUCUAAUGCACAAAUGCCUACUCUUCACUAUCUCUAAGGGACACCUGAAUUCUUUUAUUUCUUCCUCAAUCACAAGUAUCUUGGCUGGCUUCCUCCUUUUUCUUUUCUUUAUUAUAAAACAAGGUGUCCUUAUUUUCUUUUUUGUGUUCUCUGGGAACUGUCAAUGAAGUGUGGAAUUCUGUGGUUAUGCAUUGAUAUUGGUCAUAAUGAACUCCAGGUCAGUUGGGUGACAUCUUUGGGCAGCUUUCUAGUCUCACCACUCUGAUAUACUAUCCCCUUUUCUUGUUUAGGAUGUUAUGAUGAUUGUGCUUUAUGACUGCCACUAAGUGUCAUGUUUUAUUUCAUCUUUCAUAGUGUUGUUCUUCUUCUUCCAAAUGUUGCUCAAAAGCAUUACAUUGAGAAUGAUAUGGUCAAAGACUACCUUAAAAUUUUAUUAGAGUUUAGAUCAUAAUACAUGUAGAGCUCUCUCAUAUUGUGAACAGAUUGUGUGUUGGG